ACAACACAGAGUCCAGUUGCAUUUGUCAAGACCAAGUAUUUUUCCCAAGUCGAUAGCAUUGCUAAAUUGUGGAUAUCAUCCCAAAAUGCCAGAUCAUCACAAUCUUUAAGCUCCCACUUCAAAUGAAGAGAAGAUGAAUUUCCAAAAGCUAUUGCAGUCUCGCUAAUGCCAACAGCUGAUAGUCUAACUGUCCGCCCAUUUGCUAUUGUGACUGGGGAAGUACGAAUCAUUCCACUGCCACGGUCAGCCUGAGCUGCAGACUGGAUCACUUCAACAGAAUUAACAGUUUCAUCAGCUA
RNAcentral lists this unclassified non-coding RNA (298 nucleotides) under Hevea brasiliensis (rubber tree). Lineage: Eukaryota; Viridiplantae; Streptophyta; Magnoliopsida; Malpighiales; Euphorbiaceae. The record is from RNAcentral.